Triticum aestivum (bread wheat) is the source of this 135-nucleotide non-coding RNA. The record is from Rfam. Lineage: Eukaryota; Viridiplantae; Streptophyta; Magnoliopsida; Poales; Poaceae.
UUUGUACUCCCUUCGUCCCAAAAUUAUUGUCUUAAAUUUGUCUAAAUAUGGAUGUAUCUAGUUACAUUUUAGUGUUAGAUACAUCCGUAUCUAAACAAAUGUAAGUCAAGAAUUUUGGGACAGAGGGAGUACUAC